UACGUAGGUCCCGAACGUUGCGCGAAUUUACUGGGCGUAAAGGGUCCGUAGGCGGUUUAGCAAGUGGUUGGUGAAAUUUCACGGCUCAACCGUGAAACUGCCUUCCAAACUGCUAAACUUGAGGCAGGGAGAGGCCGGCGGAAUUCCAGGUGUAGCGAUGAAAUGCGUAGAUAUCGGGAGGAACACCAGUGGCGAAGGCGGCCGACUGGAACUGUCCUGACGCUGAGGGACGAAAGCUAGGGGAGCAAACCGG
This 253-nucleotide ribosomal RNA is filed under the name uncultured bacterium. Its description in RNAcentral is "partial 16S ribosomal RNA". It matches the Rfam family "Bacterial small subunit ribosomal RNA", at positions 524 to 776 of the family's 1533-position model. The record is from RNAcentral.